This 337-nucleotide unclassified non-coding RNA is filed under the name soil metagenome. Its description in RNAcentral is "partial contains 5.8S ribosomal RNA, internal transcribed spacer 2, and large subunit ribosomal RNA". The stretch from base 1 to 120 matches the Rfam family "5.8S ribosomal RNA", at positions 35 to 154 of the family's 154-position model. The record is from RNAcentral.
GAUGAAGAACGUAGCGAAAUGCGAUAAGUAGUGUGAAUUGCAGAAUUCAGUGAAUCAUCGAAUCUUUGAACGCACAUUGCGCCCCAUGGUAUUCCGUGGGGCAUGCCUGUUCGAGCGUCAUUUACCCCCUCAAGCUCCGCUUGGUGUUGGGCGUCUGUCCCGCUUCGCGCGCGGACUCGCCCCAAAGGUAUUGGCAGCGGUCGUGCCAGCUUCUCGCGCAGCACAUUGCGCUUCUCGAGGCACCGGUGGGCCCGCGUCCAUCAAGCUCACCCCCCCAGUUUGACCUCGGAUCAGGUAGGGAUACCCGCUGAACUUAAGCAUAUCAAUAAGCCGAGGA